Non-coding RNA from Pangasius djambal, 72 nucleotides. The record is from the annotation of a GenBank genome assembly. NCBI's taxonomy places the organism in Eukaryota, Metazoa, Chordata, Actinopteri, Siluriformes, Pangasiidae.
GUUGUGGUGACUCAGUGAUUAAGGCUUUGCAUUACAGAUCAGAAGGCCUGGGUUCAAAUCCCAGUAGUGCCA